Molecule: ribosomal RNA, 502 nt
Filed under: uncultured bacterium
Lineage: Bacteria
Description: partial 16S ribosomal RNA
Rfam family: Bacterial small subunit ribosomal RNA
Source: RNAcentral
AUUGAACGCUGGCGGAAUGCUUUACACAUGCAAGUCGAACGGCAGCAUAGGUGCUUGCACCUGAUGGCGAGUGGCGAACGGGUGAGUAAUACAUCGGAACGUGCCCAGUCGAGGGGGAUAACGUAGCGAAAGUUACGCUAAUACCGCAUACGAUCUACGGAUGAAAGCGGGGGACCGUAAGGCCUCGCGCGAUUGGAGCGGCCGAUGUCAGAUUAGGUAGUUGGUGGGGUAAAGGCCCACCAAGCCAACGAUCUGUAGCUGGUCUGAGAGGACGACCAGCCACACUGGGACUGAGACACGGCCCAGACUCCUACGGGAGGCAGCAGUGGGGAAUUUUGGACAAUGGGCGCAAGCCUGAUUCAGCCAUUCCGCGUGCAGGAUGAAGGCCUUCGGGUUGUAAACUGCUUUUGUACGGAACGAAAAGCUCUGGGUUAAUACCCCGGGGUCAUGACGGUACCGUAAGAAUGAGCACCGGCUAACUACGUGCCAGCCGCCGCCGUAA